This 496-nucleotide ribosomal RNA is filed under the name uncultured bacterium. RNAcentral's name for it is "partial 16S ribosomal RNA". It matches the Rfam family "Bacterial small subunit ribosomal RNA", at positions 29 to 507 of the family's 1533-position model. The record is from RNAcentral.
AUGAACGCUGGCGGCGUGCCUAAUACCUGCAAGUCGAGCGAACAGACGAGGAGCUUGCUCCUCUGACGUUAGCGGCGGACGGGUGAGUAACACGUGGAUAACCUACCUAUAAGACUGGGAUAACUUCGGGAAACCGGAGCUAAUACCGGAUAAUAUAUUGAACCGCAUGGUUCAAUAGUGAAAGACGGUUUUGCUGUCACUUAUAGAUGGAUCCGCGCCGCAUUAGCUAGUUGGUAAGGUAACGGCUUACCAAGGCAACGAUGCGUAGCCGACCUGAGAGGGUGAUCGGCCACACUGGAACUGAGACACGGUCCAGACUCCUACGGGAGGCAGCAGUAGGGAAUCUUCCGCAAUGGGCGAAAGCCUGACGAAGCAACGCCGCGUGAGUGAUGAAGGUCUUCGGAUCGUAAAACUCUGUUAUUAGGGAAGAACAAAUGUGUAAGUAACUAUGCACGUCUUGACGGUACCUAAUCAGAAAGCCACGGCUAACUACGUG